CCUACGGGUGGCUGCAGUGGGGAAUAUUGCACAAUGGGCGCAAGCCUGAUGCAGCCAUGCCGCGUGUGUGAAGAAGGCCUUCGGGUUGUAAAGCACUUUCAGCGGGGAGGAAGGCGUUAAGGUUAAUAACCUUGUCGAUUGACGUUACCCGCAGAAGAAGCACCGGCUAACUCCGUGCCAGCAGCCGCGGUAAUACGGAGGGUGCAAGCGUUAAUCGGAAUUACUGGGCGUAAAGCGCACGCAGGCGGUCUGUCAAGUCGGAUGUGAAAUCCCCGGGCUCAACCUGGGAACUGCAUUCGAAACUGGCAGGCUAGAGUCUUGUAGAGGAGGGUAGAAUUCCAGGUGUAGCGGUGAAAUGCGUAGAGAUCUGGAGGAAUACCGGUGGCGAAGGCGGCCCCCUGGACAAAGACUGACGCUCAGGCGCGAAAGCGUGGGGAGCAAACAGGAUUAGAUACCCGUGUAGUC
This 465-nucleotide ribosomal RNA is filed under the name uncultured Klebsiella sp. RNAcentral's name for it is "bacterial SSU rRNA". It matches the Rfam family "Bacterial small subunit ribosomal RNA", at positions 338 to 795 of the family's 1533-position model. Lineage: Bacteria; Pseudomonadati; Pseudomonadota; Gammaproteobacteria; Enterobacterales; Enterobacteriaceae. The record is from RNAcentral.